GUGCACCCACUGAUCAGAGGAUUAACCAGCAGACAGUACGUCCUUGUUCCUGCCCAAUGUGUGGAUUGUUUUUAUACCUGUUUGCUUAUUGUCGAGGUCAACUUGUUUGUUGCUAAUACGAAUACGAGGGGUACUCGUAAACGCCGUAAUCAUCCUUGUUUCUAAAUACAACAUGUCCGGGGCACCUCUUUGGAGGGGUUAAAAACAUAUCUGUCAUUCCUUGGUACUGACCAUGUAACAUGCUUUCCAUUUCGGUGUUACCGGACUCCACGAGCUUUGCGGACCGGGCACAUCGACCGGUGCGAGCUCGGAAGCUGUUCCCUUUUUUCUUUGGCUGGUUACCUGCUCCCGUAGUUCCUUCUGCAUCACAAGGCACUUUUCUUUGAAUUCUUCUCUCUCUUGGUCCUGGACCUUUGUCAACUCUUCCAUGCGUUUCGUCGUUUGCUGUUCCCAUUCUUGCAUCUGUGCGACUUUCUCUUUUACUUCGUUUAACUGGUACGCCUGGUCAGACAACUCGCGUGACACUUGUCUAUAAACCUUUUCCAUAGACAGGCGAUCUUUUCGGUGUUUAUCGAUGGUCGCCUUCACUUUGUUAAUCUCAUCAUUAGCAGAGUUGAAUUUAACGAGCGCCUGGGCAAGUCUGUUUUCAAGCUGCGUAAGAUUCUUUUCUGCCUUGCGAGCGUUUGCGAUGCCAUCCGCUUUAUUAAACGAGUAUCUUAGUCGCUUAUCGUUGAACUCAUGCUGCGCCUUCCUCGAAUUCUCCCCCAGGUCAUGCAGUUUUCGUUUUUCCAUCUCAAGGCGCCGUGUUGUACGCUCGAUUUCCGCUUGUAAGCGUGCAACAUGUUCAUCCAGAUAUGUGGUAUGCGCCCCUCCACUGCCGACCAGGGGCCCAGCCGCCUGACCGCUAGGGCGACUUCCUCCAUUGGUGGCGGUAGGAGAGUGACUUCGAGAUGUUGUCAUUUUCCUGCAAUGAAGAUUCGCGAGAACCGCUCGCCUAAAGUCAGAAAAAGGAACAACCUCCCGUGGCUGUAGCCAAACCUUUGAUACGGCGGGAGAGGGGGAGGAUCGGGGAAAAGAAAGUGGCCG
Molecule: long non-coding RNA, 1086 nt
Filed under: Toxoplasma gondii VEG
Lineage: Eukaryota; Apicomplexa; Conoidasida; Eucoccidiorida; Sarcocystidae
Source: RNAcentral